UGGGGAAUAUUGGACAAUGGGCGAAAGCCUGAUCCAGCCAUGCCGCGUGUGUAAAGAAGGUCUUCGGAUUGUAAAGCACUUUAAGUUGGGAGGAAGGGCAGUAAGCGAAUACCUUGCUGUUUUGACGUUACCGACAGAAUAAGCACCGGCUAACUCUGUGCCAGCAGCCGCGGUAAUACAGAGGGUGCAAGCGUUAAUCGGAAUUACUGGGCGUAAAGCGCGCGUAGGCGGCUGAUUAAGUCGGAUGUGAAAUCCCUGAGCUUAACUUAGGAAUUGCAUUCGAUACUGGUCAGCUAGAGUAUGGGAGAGGAUGGUAGAAUUCCAGGUGUAGCGGUGAAAUGCGUAGAGAUCUGGAGGAAUACCGAUGGCGAAGGCAGCCAUCUGGCCUAAUACUGACGCUGAGGUACGAAAGCGUGGGGAGCAAACAGG
RNAcentral lists this ribosomal RNA (429 nucleotides) under Pseudomonadota bacterium. RNAcentral's name for it is "Proteobacteria bacterium partial 16S ribosomal RNA". It matches the Rfam family "Bacterial small subunit ribosomal RNA", at positions 355 to 776 of the family's 1533-position model. Lineage: Bacteria; Pseudomonadati; Pseudomonadota. The record is from RNAcentral.